UAUCAGGUAGUAGUGGGUGUAGCGUACCUACUAGCCUACGACGGGUACGGGUUGUGAGAGCAAGAGCCCGGAGAUGGAUUCUGAGACACGAAUCCAGGCCCUACGGGGUGCAGCAGGCGCGAAAACUUUACAAUGCUGGCAACAGCGAUAAGGGAACCUCGAGUGCCAGGUUACAAAUCUGGCUGUCGAGAUGCCUAAAAAGCAUUUCAUAGCAAGGGCCGGGCAAGACCGGUGCCAGCCGCCGCGGUAACACCGGCGGCUCGAGUGGUAACCGUUAUUAUUGGGUCUAAAGGGUCUGUAGCCGGCCGGAUAAGUCUCUUGAGAAAUCUGGCAGCUUAACUGUCAGGCUUUCAGGAGAUACUGUCUGGCUCGAGGCCGGGAGAGGUGAGAGGUACUUCAGGGGUAGGGGUGAAAUCUUGUAAUCCUUGAAGGACCACCAGUGGCGAAGGCGUCUCACCAGAACGGACCUGACGGCAAGGGACGAAAGCUAGGGGCACGAACCGGAUUAGAUACCCGGGUAGUCCUAGCCGUAAACGAUACUCGCUAGGUGUCGGCCACGGUGCGACCGUUGUCGGUGCCGUAGGGAAGCCGUGAAGCGAGCCA
RNAcentral lists this ribosomal RNA (603 nucleotides) under uncultured archaeon. RNAcentral's name for it is "bacterial SSU rRNA". It matches the Rfam family "Archaeal small subunit ribosomal RNA", at positions 223 to 826 of the family's 1478-position model. The record is from RNAcentral.